GUAGGUGGCAAGCGUUGUCCGGAAUUAUUGGGCGUAAAGCGCGCGCAGGCGGUCCUUUAAGUCUGAUGUGAAAGCCCACGGCUCAACCGUGGAGGGUCAUUGGAAACUGGGGGACUUGAGUACAGAAGAGGAAAGCGGAAUUCCAAGUGUAGCGGUGAAAUGCGUAGAGAUUUGGAGGAACACCAGUGGCGAAGGCGGCUUUCUGGUCUGUAACUGACGCUGAGGCGCGAAAGCGUGGGGAGCAAACAGGGAUUAGAUACCCUGGUAGUCCACGCCGUAAACGAUGAGUGCUAAGUGUUAGGGGGUUUCCGCCCCUUAGUGCUGCAGCUAACGCAUUAAGCACUCUGCCCUGGGGAGUACGGCCGCAAGGCUG
This 373-nucleotide ribosomal RNA is filed under the name uncultured organism. RNAcentral's name for it is "partial 16S ribosomal RNA". It matches the Rfam family "Bacterial small subunit ribosomal RNA", at positions 527 to 896 of the family's 1533-position model. The record is from RNAcentral.